AAGAAAAUAAAAACAAAGCCGCUAACUUUAACUUUAGUAAUUAAUCAUUACUUUUUUCUUA
This 61-nucleotide transfer RNA is filed under the name Peloridora minuta. RNAcentral describes it as "tRNA-Ser". The record is from RNAcentral. Lineage: Eukaryota; Metazoa; Arthropoda; Insecta; Hemiptera; Peloridiidae.